Molecule: ribosomal RNA, 147 nt
Filed under: Triticum aestivum (bread wheat)
Lineage: Eukaryota; Viridiplantae; Streptophyta; Magnoliopsida; Poales; Poaceae
Description: partial small subunit ribosomal RNA
Source: RNAcentral
AUGGCUCCCCCCCUUGAUGACCUCGAUGAGCCUUUUUCCAAAGAGGAAAUUUGGCGCGCAGUCAAGUGCUUGCCUUCCAACAAGGCGCCAGGACCAGACGGCUUCACAGCCGAGUUCCUUCGGGCCUCCUGGGACAUCAUCAAGUAG